RNAcentral lists this microRNA precursor (134 nucleotides) under Canis lupus familiaris (dog). RNAcentral's name for it is "miRNA (ENSCAFG00845007409.1)". Lineage: Eukaryota; Metazoa; Chordata; Mammalia; Carnivora; Canidae. The record is from RNAcentral.
CGCUGACCUGCACAGCUCGGGGGCCCCGGCUGCAGGAGGGUCCUCGCUGUCCUGUGCCCUCCCCAUCUCUGCCUGUCCCGGGGAAGCGCAGGAUCCUGGGCUGUGUCCCCCGGUGCCCUGGGAUCCUGGGCCUG